RNAcentral lists this ribosomal RNA (433 nucleotides) under uncultured bacterium. RNAcentral's name for it is "partial 16S ribosomal RNA". It matches the Rfam family "Bacterial small subunit ribosomal RNA", at positions 29 to 507 of the family's 1533-position model. The record is from RNAcentral.
AACGAACGCUGGCGGCAUGCCUAACACAUGCAAGUCGAACGAGACCUUCGGGUCUAGUGGCGCACGGGUGCGUAACGCGUGGUAACCUGCCAGUAGGCUGGGAAUAACUCAGAGAAAUUUGAGCUAAUACCGGAUGAUGUCUUCGGACCAAGGAUUUAUCGCCUUUAGAUGGGCCCGCGUUGGAUUAGCUAGUUGGUGGGGUAAAGGCCUACCAAGGCGACGAUCCAUAGCUGGUUGGAGAGGAUGAUCAGCCACACUGGGACUGAGACACGGCCCAGACUCCUACGGGAGGCAGCAGUGGGGAAUAUAGGGGAAUGGGCGAGAGCCUGAUCCAGCACUGCCGCGUGAGUGAUGAAGGCCUUAGGGUUGUAAAGCUCUUUUACCCGAGAUGAUAAUGACGGUAUCGGGAGAAUAAGCUCCGGCUAACUCCGUG